Molecule: long non-coding RNA, 3120 nt
Filed under: Homo sapiens (human)
Lineage: Eukaryota; Metazoa; Chordata; Mammalia; Primates; Hominidae
Description: HSALNT0209564
Source: RNAcentral
CAAACAUGCUAUUAACAUUCAUACUAAUAUAGCAAUACUAGCUAUAAUUGCACUUCAUGAAUGUUUUGUCUGUAGAAAUCUAAUGUAUUCACAAUGAACAAUUUCCAAUUAUUGUUUUUUUUUCUUAUAGAAAGUCCAAAACCCCUGGUGAAAGUUUCAAUUAUCUUGAGGUGUACAUCUGAACCAUCCACAAGACCAUCAUUUUUUUUCUAUAGUAGGAAAUUUGCAGCUGCUCAAGUACUAUGAAAUGUGACAUAUUUGACUUUCACCUCUCCACUUUUGAACCUUCCAAAAAUAUCUGCAAAAAAGAAAUGUUUUAAGCCCCUCCCCACCCCACCUACCCCCCCUUUUUUUUUUAACUCUCUACCUGAAGCAGGAGAAAUAUUAGGAAAUUUACCCUCACUCUCAACAGCUCUCACACAAGCCUUCAAGAAGCUACAUUUAUAAGAGAAGCAUGAACUGAGCACUGGAGAGCUGCAGAGGUCACGGUGUAUGACAGUCAACUUUAUACAUUCACACUUCAGGCAUCUUAUUCUAACUAACUGCAUAAGCCUGAUUGGUUCCUUAGAAAACAUGGCACCGACUUUAAGUGAGACAUUUCUAUUUUAGUGUAGCCAGACUACAUGGGAGUCUGUUCCUCUACCAUUUAGUGAUAUAGAUACUUUCAGUAUUAUUGCUAACUGACUCUUGAGGUAUAAGAGCCUUAAUUAUGUUGGUUUAAUAUUUUAUGCUUAAAUAUUGUUAUUUAUAAACUAACAGUGGGAAAUGCUACAACUUCCCCGUGUUUUUUAUUUCAAUGCUAUAAUAAAAUAUGAUAUUGUUGAUUGAGGGUUACAUUUUAUUAAUGAUACCUGUAAUUAGGAUUAUGAUUUAAAAUAUUUAGUCUUUAUCUACACAUUACAGGAGUGAGCAAUCUUUAAAGACCUCUCUUCCCAACCACCACCUUUUUCUAAUUUGAACCCAUAACUUUAGCAACCACAAAGACAGGGACUAAGGUGUAAUAUCAUAUCUGGGUAUAACUCGCACACAAACAUACAAAUUACCUUGUUCAUCAAGGGCUAUGCCUACAAAACCCUCCAUGACAUCACAGUAUUUAGCAUUCUACAUAGACAAAAAUAAUGUGACAUUUAUUUGCAAGUUAUUAAGAAAAAUGUGUAAACUAUAUGCCACUAACACUUCUAUUUCUCAUAUUUUUUCCUCAGUGAGAGAAAAAAAAGAUUCAUGCUCAGAGCAAUUUGUUUCAUAGGAUGAGCGGUACCUUUCUCAAGAUCCCAUUCCUGCUGUUUCUGAGCCUCUUUGCCUUGAGGGCCCUUCUGUACCAGUGAGCCUCCAGCUUUAUGAAUACAGAAACUUCGUCUGGGUCAUUGAUUCAUCCCUGGAACCUAUAAGUGAUGCCAAGAAUAUAGUAUCAGCUCACUGACUACUUUUUAGGAUAGUUGGUUCUCUUCCUUCUCAGUUGUUUCUCCCGACAAAAGUUCCCAGCCUCUAGCAUCAGAGCAGCCUUUGCUGGAGUCAUAGAAGCCAUCACUAGAGAAUACACCAAAUGUAUUCAAUUUGAAGGCAUCAUCACCUCCCUCGGCCAAUCACAGGAUUCCCAGAAAGUGUUGAAUAGCAGUGAUGAAAAGCAGGCUGUCUCAUUCCUGAUGUCAAAGAGAAAGCUUUCAGUAUUUCACCAAUAUGUAUGAAGCUGCUAUAGGGUUUUGUUUUUUUGAGAUGGAGUCUUGCUCUAUCACCCAGGCUGGAGUGCAGUGGCGCAAUCUCAGCUGACUGCAGCCCCCACCUCCCAAGUUCAAGUGAUUCUCCUGCCUCAGCCUCCUGAGUAGCUGGGACCAUAGGCAUGCGCCACCACACCCAGCUAAUUUUUUGUUUUCUGAAGACAUAUAUUUUCAGAUUAAAGAAGUUACCUCUAUUCCUAAGUUUUCUUAAUAAUCAUUGGAUCUUGUCAAGUGUUUGUUCUGUAUCUUCUAAGAUAAUCAUAUUUUUUCUUUAUUCUUUCAUGUUAUAAGUUACCUUAAUAUUAAAGCAACUUUGGUGUAAAAGUAACUUGAUUGAGAUAUAUGUAUAUUGUUUUAUAAAUCAAUAGAUUUAAUUUGCAAAUGUUUUAUUUAGAAUUUUUGCAUCUUAGUUCACAGAAAGAUUGAGUAUACUUUCUUACAAUGUCUUUGUUACGUUUGGGUAUGAAGGUUAUGUUGGCCUUAUAAAACACGUUAAGCAGAAUUACUCUUUUUCUACUCUCUGGGAUAAUUUAAGAAUGAUGCUUUUUUAAAUGAAGGUUUGAGCAUCUAGGCUUAGCGAUUUCCAUUUGGGAAGAUAUUCAACUUAUUUUAAUGGUUAUAAGACUACUCAGAUUUUCCAUAUCUUGUUGUAUUAUUCUUGCUAAGCUUUUAUUUUCUAGCACUUUGUCCAUUUUAUCUACCUCUUCAAAAUUAUUCACAUAAAGUUCUUUGUAAUAUCCUCCUAUUUUCUUACUAAUUUUGUAGAAUCUGCAGUGAUGUCCCCUUUUUCAUUUCUGAUAGUAGUAAUUUUGUGCCUUCACUCUUUUUCUUUCCCCAAUCAGUCUUGCUAGAAGCUUAUCAAUUUGUUAAUCUUUCCAAAUAACCAAAUUUGGCAUUUUUUAUUCUAUUGUAUGUUUGUUUUUUACUCCUUUAAUUUCUGUUUUCAUCUUCAUUUUUUCCUUUUUUUUUUUUUUACAUUCUCUGGGCCCAAUUUUCUGUAGCAUUUCUAAUUUCUUUAAAAUGACACUUUGAUCAUGACUUUUUCAGUGAAAUAAUAUAAGCAUUUUAAGGCUAAAAAUUUUCCUUUCUGCAUGGUUUUAGUUAUAUUCUACAAUAAGUUGUGCUGUAUCGUAUUUUCAUUAUCAUUCAGCUGAAAAUAUUUUCUAGUUUUCAUUGUACUGUCCUCUUUGACCUUUGUGUAAUUAGUAGUGUAUUUCCAAACCUUUGGGCAUUUUAUUGUUAUUGCUCUGUUGUUAUUUAGCUUAACUGCACUGAGGCCUAAGAACAUAUCUGUACAAUUUUUAUCUUGUAAAAUGUGUCAAGAAAUGCUAUAUGGUUCUGCAUAUGUGCAAUAUUGAUGAUGUUCCAUGCUCUGCAGUUGCUGGUUACAGUAUUCUAUCUGUGG